Molecule: ribosomal RNA, 482 nt
Filed under: uncultured bacterium
Lineage: Bacteria
Description: partial 16S ribosomal RNA
Rfam family: Bacterial small subunit ribosomal RNA
Source: RNAcentral
AUUGAACGCUGGCGGCAUGCUUUACACAUGCAAGUCGAACGGUAACAGGCCGCAAGGUGCUGACGAGUGGCGAACGGGUGAGUAAUGCAUCGGAACGUGCCCAGUCGUGGGGGAUAACUACUCGAAAGAGUAGCUAAUACCGCAUACGAUCUAUGGAUGAAAGCGGGGGACCGUAAGGCCUCGCGCGAUUGGAGCGGCCGAUGUCAGAUUAGGUAGUUGGUGGGGUAAAGGCUCACCAAGCCAACGAUCUGUAGCUGGUCUGAGAGGACGACCAGCCACAACUGGGCUGGGGAACGGCCCCGGCUCCUAAGGGAGGCAACAGUUGGGAAUUUUGGACAAUGGGCGCAAGCCUGAUCCAGCAAUGCCGCGUGCAGGAAGAAGGCCUUCGGGUUGUAAACUGCUUUUGUACGGAACGAAACGGCUCUGGUUAAUACCCGGGGCUAAUGACGGUACCGUAAGAAUAAGCACCGGCUAACUACGUG